AAUGUUAAAUACAUGUUUGUUGAAUUUCUUUGAAACUUUAAUAUUAAUGAGAACUAUUAACUUUUUUUUUUUCAGAUGCAGUCUCACCUUGUCGCCUAGGCUGGAGUAUAGUGGUGUGAUCUCAGCUCACUGCAACCUCCGCCUUCCAGAUGAUAGUGUCGAACACAGUGGAACAAAGAAAGAAGAUCUGGAUGACAAAGAAAAAUGAUGAAGAAGAAACUCCUGCACCUGUCCAAAUGUCUGCCAGGCUGUUGUUGCUUCAGCUGUGGGACAGCGGGGCACAGGAGACUGACAAUGAGCGUUCUGCCCAGGGCACCAGCGC
Molecule: long non-coding RNA, 322 nt
Filed under: Rhinopithecus bieti (black snub-nosed monkey)
Lineage: Eukaryota; Metazoa; Chordata; Mammalia; Primates; Cercopithecidae
Description: lncRNA (ENSRBIG00000045813.1)
Source: RNAcentral